RNAcentral lists this ribosomal RNA (497 nucleotides) under uncultured bacterium. RNAcentral's name for it is "partial 16S ribosomal RNA". It matches the Rfam family "Bacterial small subunit ribosomal RNA", at positions 28 to 507 of the family's 1533-position model. The record is from RNAcentral.
GAUGAACGCUGGCGGCGUGCCUAAUGCAUGCAAGUCGAGCGAACAGAUGAGGAGCUUGCUCCUCUGACGUUAGCGGCGGACGGGUGAGUAACACGUGGAUAACCUACCUAUAAGACUGGGAUAACUUCGGGAAACCGGAGCUAAUACCGGAUAAUAUAUUGAACCGCAUGGUUCAAUAGUGAAAGACGGUUUUGCUGUCACUUAUAGAUGGAUCCGCGCCGCAUUAGCUAGUUGGUAAGGUAACGGCUUACCAAGGCGACGAUGCGUAGCCGACCUGAGAGGGUGAUCGGCCACACUGGAACUGAGACACGGUCCAGACUCCUACGGGAGGCAGCAGUAGGGAAUCUUCCGCAAUGGGCGAAAGCUUGACGGAGCAACGCCGCGUGAGUGAUGAAGGUCUUCGGAUCGUAAAACUCUGUUAUUAGGGAAGAACAAAUGUGUAAGUAACUAUGCACGUCUUGACGGUACCUAAUCAGAAAGCCACGGCUAACUACGUG